RNAcentral lists this long non-coding RNA (1296 nucleotides) under Sus scrofa (pig). RNAcentral's name for it is "lncRNA (ENSSSCG00005000223.1)". The record is from RNAcentral. Lineage: Eukaryota; Metazoa; Chordata; Mammalia; Artiodactyla; Suidae.
GAACAGAGAGUAGAAGAUGUCCGGCUCAUCCGAGAGCAGCAUCCUACCAAAAUCCCGGUAAUAAUAGAACGAUACAAAGGUGAGAAGCAGCUUCCAGUCCUGGAUAAAACGAAAUUCCUGGUGCCUGAUCAUGUCAACAUGAGUGAGCUCAUCAAGAUAAUUAGAAGGCGCUUGCAGCUCAAUGCUAACCAAGCCUUCUUCCUGUUAGUGAACGGACAUAGCAUGGUGAGUGUGUCCACACCGAUUUGUGAGGUGUACGAAAGCGAGAAGGAUGAAGAUGGAUUCCUGUACAUGGUCAGCACUCAUGAGGAAGUUCUCAUUUGGUUACUUCUCUAGACAUGCAAAANNNNNNNNNNNNNNNCAGCAGGAACCUUGGAUAGUUGAUGAUUUUGGUCAAGUUUCUCCAAAGGCCUAGAGAAAGAAUGGCGUUUCUUCCGUUUUGGACAUUCUCUGCAGAGUCAAGAUACUGCCUGCUUUGGUCAACGCCAGGCAGUCACAUCAGUUUCAUUCUUUAGGACAGGGUGGGAAACCAGAGGAUUCAGAUGUCACUUCCUCUACCUUCUGGCUGAAACUGUAGAUGAUCCAUGUUUUAUGUUAAGUGUGUGACUAAAAUAUGUAAUUAGACACUUUUAAUUUAAGAGUAUCUCAGUUACCACUGUUAGGUCAAGCAACCCUCAGUUUCCCCAUUCUAUGUGCAUGUCACUUUGGAAAAUAGCAAAAGGAAAAAAUGUUCUUUUACAGCUAUUAAUGGCAAAAGUUAAACAUGUUUAAAAGUCCAGCUAGAAUAAAUAACCAGUGCUUCCUGUUACCUGCAUGGGGUUCCCCAUGGACUAUUUUUUGUGGGCGUUACCACAGAAAGGGCCCAGACCCACAUGCUUGACGUACAUUGUAGCAGGCCGCGUUUCCUCUCGCGCAUCUAGAUGUGUGGAACACUCGUAUCUGUCAGCGGCAGGUAUUGACUCUUCAACGCGGUGUUGUGCUGCACCCGGGCCCUCGACCCCCCAUCUUCCCGCUGCAUGCAUCUGUCCACGUGGCUGACUUUUCACGUGUAUAUUUCUACAUUGUGCAAAUUCUUAGUCACCCUGUCUCGCUUAGAUUGUACGCAUCAUUACAUCUGACGUUCUUGUAACCACGGCGUGCUCCGUAAGAUUCCUAUGAGAAGUUCUGCUUUUUAAAGACAAAGAUACCAUGCCGAGAGGGGAGACUUAGACCCCACGUUAGUGGGUGGUCACUCCCUUUAUAGGAUCUUUAAAACAAGUACAUUUUUAAUGACUAAGGUAAAAUAAAGGCACAACU